UACGCCCGCUCAUGAAAUAUUGCGUAGGCGUACUCAAUGAGUGCAGCGCAGAGCAAACGUAGGUCGGGCAUGGACGCCCGACCAGCCGGCAUUGAGCAUGGACGCGAAUUGCCGGCGUUAGCUUGCUCAAGCGAAACGAAUUGUAAGUACGCCUACGCAAUAUUUCAUGAGCGGGCGUA
Mahella australiensis 50-1 BON is the source of this 179-nucleotide regulatory RNA element. The record is from Rfam. Lineage: Bacteria; Bacillati; Bacillota; Clostridia; Mahellales; Mahellaceae.